RNAcentral lists this long non-coding RNA (454 nucleotides) under Cyanistes caeruleus (blue tit). Its description in RNAcentral is "lncRNA (ENSCCEG00000019014.1)". The record is from RNAcentral. Lineage: Eukaryota; Metazoa; Chordata; Aves; Passeriformes; Paridae.
CCUCUGUGCCCUGGUGGGCCGAGGCUGCCCAGGCUCUGGGGACCCUUCAGGGGAUCCCUCCUCAGCUGCAGUGGCUGGAACCUGCUCGAGACAGCACUGGAGCUACUGGGAAUGUCCCUGCCCCCAGCAGCAACGCUGCUCCUACUUUUCCUAGGCUUGGAGGACUUCUGCAAGCCCUGGGAACAGCUUUUGCAAAUGUCUCUAAAUGCAGCUAGAAGGAGGUGGAGGGUGAAUCUGAUGCACCUCCAGCAGCCUGGUCCAGCUCAGACAGAGGAAGAGGACACUGACCCUGCUGGUGCCAUGUGUGGCAGGUGGCAAAGCUGCUGUCACUGCUGGCUUUGGAGAACUGAAUUUGUGACCUGGCAAUGCUUCUGGAAGGCUCCCCAAGAUGGCAACAGUGAAGUACUCCAUGACUUGCAGCAAAUACCGAAGAUCUUUAGCUACUUUUUCAGAG